GGCACACAAAAGAGUGGCGAUUCAAGCGUGGGAACGCCACGAUUUCCAUUUCUGCUGAAGCAGUCAUUCUCCAAUCAGAGGUGGGAACAGAUUACCCCACGCCUUCCCUCUGUUCUAUCCCUUUUCUUUUUUAAUCUCCCCAGAGUUGAACUUCAGCCCCUGAUGAAUCGCAACAGGAAAGGCGAAGGAACAAAACACGAUGGAAAAAGAGGAGUACCAGCAUAGCAAGGUUCCUCCUUCUGGAAACAGAGAAAUCACAGCUCUUGGCAGAGAAGAAAAGGGGGAAGAUUUAAAGAGAAGUCUGGCUGUAUUUUUCCCCACAGUGUUGGAUACACAACUCUAGUUAUGACUAUCAAGUAUUUAGGAGGGAACCUAUUAUCUCUAACUGAAUUGUGCCUGUUUUCCCACAAUGCACUUGCCUGAGCAUCUUUGCCUUCCUGGAUCGUUGCCUCUGGAUUGGCUGUAUGGCUUGCAAGCUUUUCCCACAUAGGAGUCCAGAUAUUGCCAGAAAUAUAGACUCCCACGUCAACUGUACAUUUGCUGGCUGUUCAACUAUUUAAGUGAUUCAGAGUGUAAACAAUAGGGCUUGCUGUACCUGUGUAAAAGAGGGAAUGUCAGCAGGUGAAGCUUGCUUGAUAAGCUGUACCUGCUGACAUUCCCGCUUCUGCACAACGAGGAGCUCUAUCCUCUUUUUCAUCUGACCGCUCUUACCAGAAGCCUAUCAGCAAGAGCCAGUGAAGGUGGUACAAGACUGAUCACCCUGGAAAUCAUCAUGUGCAUUGAUGGCACCAAAAUAAUAAUGACCACUACAUUACCUGUUGACUCGGACACCGUAUUUGCUCUCAUCAAUGGCCAUAGCUUUUGUCAUUGCAGUAACAGCACCCUGCAAGUUGGAGGCAUUAAUAGCAUGGAUUAUCAACUGACCAGAAAAAAACAGAUAUGGGCUGGGUUUUUCUUCGGCCUUUUACAACUUCUUGAUGUACAGAGAAAUCAACGGAUUAAGCUUUUUAUGGCAUGUAAAUUAACAAUGUCCCUUACUUCCGUCUGUAGAUCAAGCUGCUGUUAAAUGGCAUAACAACAGGGGCCAAAAAAGAAGCUGGCAACCCCAAUAAUAGCUCGAUGGUUUCUCACCUCUUUUCUCCAUCUUUGGUGACUUUUUAAAAAUUGACCUCGUCAAUAAUCCCAAGAUAGCAACCCUCUGAUUUACAUCACUCACAAGAGGCUAAUUCAAAACCAAAGUGAGUUGAAAGAGAGUGGAGCCCCUAGUUAAUUAAGGGGCUCUGCUUUUUUAAAAUCUGCACUGGCCAGUUGCAUUACAGAGGUGCUUAAGUCUCAUAUAAUAAAUAUAGUUUGGUGUAUUUGUUGUGGACAUAGGCCAUAACAAAAACAAAGUUUUGUAUAUGGAAGAAAAGCUUUCAGAGGUUUAAAUAGGAUUGUCAAUGAAUGGGGAGGGGGAGGCUGACUUGCCCCUGUGCCUCUUAGCAGCAGCUUGAUAUGCAGAAAUCAGAAAGUGAAUUUUCACAGCUUAAAGAUAGGCACUAUCACUUGGAAUUAUCCCUUCCUUGCAAUUAAAAGCACGGAAGCAGGUGCUUGUAAAAACAUUGGCAACCCUAUCUUUAGAGAAUUAUCAUUUGCCAUUAAAAGCACAGAAGCAGAUGCUUGUAUUAAUGUUGGCAACCCUAUCUUUAGAACAAGAAGGGCAGGGCAGGGGACACCUGAAGUCAAAUUCUAGCCAUUGCUCUGGAUUACCUUGGUUGCCACAUACGGCACAGCAUACUUUUGUCCAAUAACAUUGACAAGACUGGCGAUGUUGAUAAUGUUCCCUUUGGUUUUGCGGAGGUGGGGCAAUGCAAACUGUUAACAAGAGAAAUGGGGAGGAAUGGAGAGAAAACAUUCCAACGCAUGGCGGCAUGAGGCUGCCUUCUAUCAAGCCAGACCACUGGUCCAUUGAGCCCAGGAUUGUCUGCUCCAGCAGUCGUUCAGUCAGGACCCACCUUUAACAUGCAUUUUGAAACCCAUUCCUUAAUUUUCUAUCAUGUGUUUGUACAAUGGUAGUGCCACUGUUGAGUUCCACCUUAGAUCAGGGUAUGACCCACUAGUUGGACCCAUGUUCUACGCCAGGAGCAGCCAAUGUGGUGUCCUCCACAUUUGUUGGCUACAACUCACAUCAGACCCAACCACCAUGGCCAAGAGCCAGGGAUAAUGGGAACUGUAGUUACGCGACAUCUGAAGAGCACCAUAUUGGCUACACUUGGUCUCCUCUAAUGGCAGCGGCUUGCUAAGGCUUUUUUCAGCCCUUGCACCCAAGGACUAAAUUUGGGACCUUUUAGGUUUACCUCAGAGCUGUGGCUCCUCCCCGUAUAGCUCAAUGGGGUUGCAAAGAAUGAGUCACAUCUUUCCACUUCCACAUCUUAUACCAAGAAGUUCUAUUAUCUCCUGUUUUUCAAUUCUGGAGGAAGCCAAUGACCUCAGGAGACAAGGGUGAUAUUUAGCCAAGGGCUGUGACUCAGUGGUAGAGCACAUGUGCUGAAUGCAGAAGGUCCCAUGAUCAAUCCUUGGCAUCUCUAAGCAGGUCUGAGAUAGAUCCCUGGCUGAAACCUUGGAGAGCCCUUGCAUGUCCAUUAAUGGAAAUUAGUCUAUUAGGACACACGAGGCACUGACCCACCAACCUUUGUCUACCCUCAGUCUACUCUGUGCCUGCCUGACUUCCUUCCUUCUUAAUGACCAACCCCAGGGGGUGGCCCUGGCUAUCAGCUUCCUCCUCCUCCAUGUUGCCCUUGUAGAACUCCACAGGGAGAAGGACAGGAACAAAACUGGAAUUGGUUGGCUCCUUUUGUCAUUGGCUCUGGGUCCACCUGAUGUUGGGCUCUCAGCCUUUCGCCCAACCAAUCCAAAUGGGCACCAGCCACCACUAGUAUCAGUACAGAUGAUACUGAACUGCCCAGCUUAGUAUACGGCACUUUCCCAAGCACAUAUUGGAAUUGCUCACCUUAGCUGUUAAGAAACAGCUUACAACAUUGAGGUCCAUGAGGCUGCGGAACUCUUGCGCAGUGACAUCAUCUAUAAUUUGGUCAGGAGGAUCUGUUUGUGAAAGGAUCAAGUGGAUAUAAAAAAUAAAAGAAUUCACAAAGGUAAGAUCCACAACAGACUAGGUUCUUUCACACCUACUGAUGGAUGUUAUUUUUUUUUUAAAAAGUAAAUUGUACUUAUCCCAAUAAGUCCACACGAUAAAUAUAUAUAUCCAGUGGUGCCAUCAGAGCAGGAGUUUGGGGCAGAAGUCAAGGGCCCCAAUCUGCAGACGGACCCACAAAUGCAGGGUUGGCUUACACAGUAAUGCACAUUACCAUCUAAAAAGGCAGACCUUUGCAAGACCAGUAAGUGCAGAGUCUAAAGUUAUGCAAGUGCAUCACUACAUACAAAAUUGCUUAAGUGCAUUGCUGCAGUACACUCUACAUGAGGCUUUCCUUGCUGUCAGUACAGAAACUGCAGUAAGUGCAGAAUAUUGCAGCAGAAUUGCUAACAGGAGCAAGACCCUCUCAGCAUAUCACAUGCCUGCUAAAAGAUCAGCACAGACUGCCAACUUGUUAACAGGGCAAAUUCAAGGUGUUACGAUUAGUAUAUAAAGUCCCUAACAGCUUGGCACCAGUUUACUUGAAGGAUCACCUUACCUCACAUGUGCCCUCUUGGUGGCUUCAGUCUGUGGAACUGGCCCUUUCACAAGUGCCACAUAAUGUUCAUUCUGCACUUGCAAGAAAUCAGUUUUUUUUAGUGUGGUAGCACUUGCAUUCUGGAACUCCCUGCCUAUUGAUAUUAGACAGAUGCCUUCAUUGUACUAUUUUUGACACCUGCUAAAAAUGUUUUUGUUUAGGCAAGCCUUCCCAGACAUGUAAUUCUAUUGUGAACAUUUGUUUUAAAAACCUGAUGAUUUUAUCUAUAGUUUGAUAAUUUUAUUAAGUUUGCUUUUAGUGCUAUUUUUGCCUCUUUUUAAUUGUUAUGUUUAAUAUUUUAUACCAUUUUAUGUAAACUGCUUUUAAAUUUAAGUAGUAUAUACAUCUUGUUAAAUAAAUAGAUGUCAGAUAAAUACGUGCAUCAAAUAAAAUGA
This is a long non-coding RNA of Rhineura floridana, 4102 nucleotides long. RefSeq lists it as uncharacterized. The record is from RefSeq and is a predicted model, not a curated record. The transcript is spliced from 3 exons. NCBI's taxonomy places the organism in Eukaryota, Metazoa, Chordata, Lepidosauria, Squamata, Rhineuridae.